CAAGAGAAUGGUCGUGGACAGGCAAAAGAUCAUAACAAGGUCAGAGUCCAGGAGGUACAGAGUCAAGGCAGGCAAGAGUCAAAACCGUGCGGACUAGCAAAAAACAGAUAAGAGGAAAAAGCAGGAGUACGGAGUAACACGCUGGUUGACUUGACAAAACAAGACGAACUGGCACAGACAGACAGAAAACACAGGUACAUCAAGGUUCUGAGAGCUCUGAUGGAGAGCAUAGCUCUGGAGAAGACAGAGCUCCCCCCUCUCUGUUGCUGCGGAGACAGUUUUUGGGACUCCCAUCCUGACACCUGCGCAAAUUACCACAACUCUAAAGCCUAUGUCCAGGCUCUGCAGUCUGCGCCGUUGAGCUAUGAUCUGAAGGAUGGGAGCCACUCCACUUACCAGCGGGCCUUGGCUCGCCGGAUCGCCUCCAUGCACGCCCUUUAACCCAGGAAGUAAUCCAGGAAUCAAACCACAGCUCACAGGAACUUAGACACCUUGCAAAGGAUCAAAAAUAAAAUACAUUUGAAUUUCUGC
This is a long non-coding RNA of Oncorhynchus mykiss (rainbow trout), 531 nucleotides long. RefSeq lists it as uncharacterized. Lineage: Eukaryota; Metazoa; Chordata; Actinopteri; Salmoniformes; Salmonidae. The record is from RefSeq and is a predicted model, not a curated record.